GGUAAGUAUAUAAAGAAACUAUUAUGGAUAAUUAGCUAUAUAUUAAAGAAUAUCUAGACAAUCUAGUUUCUAAGAGAAAUCAGAUAAUAAACAAAGUGAAUUGAAAUAUCUUAGUAACUUUAGGAAAAGAAAUCAAACGAGAUUGUUAUUUGGUGUCAACUAAAUAACAAAAGCCUAAAAACAAAACUUGAAAAAGUAAAACGGAUAAAAAUCUGUUAGAAUAAAGGGGAACCUUCCUCUAAGGCUAAAUAUGAUAUAUAAGCGAUAGUGAAAAGUACCGUGAGGUAAAAUUUGAAAUAGUAGUUUUAUAAGCAGCUCGAGUGAAAUUUAAAUAAAUAAUAAGAGCGUACCUUUUGCAUAAUGGGUCAGCAAGUUAAUUUUAGAUGCAAGCAAUUACGAAUGUGAUUAGCUUAGAUAAACCAAUUAUGAGAAAAUGAAAAAGUAUCUAAAAUUAGACCCGAAGGCUAGUGAUCUUACCAUGGUCAGGGUUAUAAAAGCCCGAACGGGUUAUCGUUGUAUAGAUAUCCGAAGAACUGUGGUAAGUUAGUGAAAGACAAAACUGACUAGUAUAGCUGGUUUUCCGCGAAACCUAUAUGAGUAGGUAAUUUAACUAACAUCUUAGCAGGUACAGAACUGUGAUCUCGGACAAUAUUUUUGUCAACAUCGGGGGGUUGUAGUGACUUUACCGGAGAGUAUUUGCACUCGAAAUGGCAAAGAUGAAUGUUGAAUAAUCGGACAUAGUGCGAUAAGGUUGUAUGUCUAAAGGGAAACAGCCCAGAACAAGAGUUAAGGUUCCAAAAUUAUCAUUGAGUGAAAUUAAGGAUGUUUUUUUUUAAUACAAUCAGGAAAUAGGCUUAGAAGCGGCCAUUUUUUGAAGACCUCGUAACAGAGCACUGAUUAAAGAAAAAAACACCGAAAAUUUAACGGAUCUAAAUGAUAUACCGAAACCUUGUACACAUAUGUAUAAUAAUAAAAUAUUGUCUAUGUGGGGUAGCGGAACAUUGGAUAAAUAUUCAUUAUUAUUUCUUUUUAAGAAAUAAUAAGUAUGGAUAAUAAUUAUUAAUAUUUAAAACUUAAUGUUUUAAGGAUAUUUAUAUAAUAUCGAAAAUAUGAUUUAUAUAAAUAUAUAGAUGUAUAAUAUAUGUCUUUAUUAUUAAAAUUCUCCAUCAAUAUAAUCCAAGAGAGAAUGCUGACAUGAGUAACGAAAAAGGAAUAUCCUCGCCUUAAGCUUAUGGUAUUAUAUUUAAUUUUCGGUAUCUAAAAAUAUUAAUCAAAAGGUAAUUUUGAUGAUAUUUAUAUAUAAAUACUUAAAAGUUAAAAACAAAACCUUUAACAAGUAAUAAAGGUUCUGGAAAAUUUUUAACUUUAAUAAAAAAUUAUUAACUUAGCCUUAUGAAUAAAUCUAAAUAUGUUAUAUUGUAUUUAUAAUAUAACUUGUUAAAGUUUUGCAAGAUUGUAUUGUAAAAAAACAAUAUAAUAGAGUUUUAUAAAAAAGUUAAUAAUGGAGGGAUAUAUUUAUAUUGUUGUAUAAAUAUUAAGGCUAAUAUUCAAUAAAUAUAAGUAUAAUAAGGUUUAUAUAUACCGUACCUAGAUACUAUCACAAGUAAGCAAGUAGAGAAUACAAAGGCGUUUGAGUGAACAAUCAUUAAGGAACUCGGCAAAUUGACUACCGUAACUUCGGGAUAAGGAGGGCCAUUAUCAUAAGUUUAACAUACCUAAGGUAUGAUAUAAUUAAAUUUAUGGUAAGAGGAAACAUAAAAUAAUGUUGUACGACUGUUUAAUAAAAACACAGCACUCUGCAAAGAUAAAAUAUCAAAGUAUUGAGUGUGAUGUCUGCCCAAUGUCGGCUGGGUAACGAAUUUACCUUGGUUUUUAACUGAGGUUUUGAAGGACACCCCGAUAAAUGGCGGCCUUACCUAUGAGGGUCCUAAGGUAGCGAAAUACCUUGGCCGUUAAAUGCGGUCCAGCAUGGACACAUAAUCCGUUAAAAAAUCAAAAUUACUAUACCAUACUUAUGUGAUGGUAUACCAU
This 2031-nucleotide non-coding RNA is filed under the name Aspergillus cristatus. Its description in RNAcentral is "Bacterial large subunit ribosomal RNA". It matches the Rfam family "Bacterial large subunit ribosomal RNA", at positions 1 to 2065 of the family's 2925-position model. Lineage: Eukaryota; Fungi; Ascomycota; Eurotiomycetes; Eurotiales; Aspergillaceae. The record is from Rfam by way of RNAcentral.